This 500-nucleotide ribosomal RNA is filed under the name uncultured bacterium. RNAcentral's name for it is "bacterial SSU rRNA". It matches the Rfam family "Bacterial small subunit ribosomal RNA", at positions 1010 to 1512 of the family's 1533-position model. The record is from RNAcentral.
GGUCCGCCCGCAAGGGCCGAUACACAGGUGCUGCUUGGCUGUCGUCAGCUCGUGUCGUGAGAUGUUGGGUUAAGUCCCGCAACGAGCGCAACCCCUGUGUUUAGUUGCCAGCAUUUAGUUGGGCACUCUAAACAGACUGCCGACGUUAAGUCGGAGGAAGGUGGGGAUGACGUCAAGUCCUCAUGGCCUUUAUAUCUAGGGCUACACACGUGCUACAAUGGUCGGUACAGAGGGAAGCAAAGCCGCGAGGUAGAGCAAAUCCCAGAAAGCCGAUCUAAGUUCGGAUCGUAGUCUGCAACUCGACUACGUGAAGCUGGAAUCGCUAGUAAUCGUGGAUCAGCACGCCACGGUGAAUACGUUCCCGGGCCUUGUACACACCGCCCGUCACACCAUGAAAGUUGGUUUUAUCAGAAGUCGUCCUACUAACCGCAAGGAGGUAGGCGCCCAAGGUAUAACUGAUGAUUGGGGUGAAGUCGUAACAAGGUAGCCGUAGGGGAACC